Molecule: ribosomal RNA, 254 nt
Filed under: uncultured bacterium
Lineage: Bacteria
Description: partial 16S ribosomal RNA
Rfam family: Bacterial small subunit ribosomal RNA
Source: RNAcentral
UACAGAGGUCUCGAGCGUUGUUCGGAUUCAUUGGGCGUAAAGGGUGCGUAGGUGGCUAGGUAAGUCGGAUGUGAAAUCUCGGGGCUCAACCCCGAAACUGCAUUCGAUACUGCCUGGCUAGAGUACUGGAGAGGAGAUUGGAAUUUACGGUGUAGCAGUGAAAUGCGUAGAUAUCCUAAGGAACACCGGGUGGCGAAGGCGGCUCACUGGGUCUCUUCUGACGCUGAGGCACGAAAGCUAGGGUAGCGAACGGG